AUUUGAUCUAUCUCCAUUAAACUUGGAUAUAGGCCAAGUUUAUAAAGAAACACGUUUAUUCCUGGAUGGAGAGGAAGAAAAAGAAUGGGCAUUUGAGGAAAGCAAAAUAGAUGAGCACCAUUUUGUUGCAGUUGCUCUUAGGAAACCCGAUGGAUCUAGACAUCAGGAUGUUCCAUCUCAGGAUGAUUCCAAACCAACCCAG
RNAcentral lists this unclassified non-coding RNA (202 nucleotides) under Hevea brasiliensis (rubber tree). The record is from RNAcentral. Lineage: Eukaryota; Viridiplantae; Streptophyta; Magnoliopsida; Malpighiales; Euphorbiaceae.